RNAcentral lists this long non-coding RNA (1459 nucleotides) under Coturnix japonica (Japanese quail). Its description in RNAcentral is "lncRNA (ENSCJPG00005007529.1)". The record is from RNAcentral. Lineage: Eukaryota; Metazoa; Chordata; Aves; Galliformes; Phasianidae.
UACAGAUUGGUUUUGUUUGGGAUCUCUGAUCUUAAAAAUUAGUCUUGUGUAUUGUAUUUUCUAUGGUAUCUUUUUGUGAAACUCUUCAUGUUUUUCACUAAAGAUGGAUAAUCUGUGUGAGUGAGUAGCUUGCUUAGGAUACAUCUAUACUGUACUGAAAUCUGGGAUUGCAGACUCUGUUGAUAAGUAAUUUUAAAUUGUUGGACCACACGCAGUUGUGGCAGCAUACAGGGUAUUUGUAAUGAAGCAGAAUUUGUAAUUUGUGUUUUAAUGUUUUUGCCACUGUGUCUGCAAUUUGAUCAAUGCCGUAUCUGAAUAAUACUUCAAAUGUGUCUACACAGCUGUAGUGACCAUCAGGAGGACUUGGCCUUGUACAGUUCCCUGGGUCACGUGAUCCUUCCAGCCAGUGAGAGCACUGCCGAAGUAAUGGCAACAACCUUCUGGGAUAAAUAUGAGAAGCAUAAGAAAGCAAUUGAAAACAAAAGAAAUGCAUUCCAAGCAUUGCCUGAAGUUCAUUUUGAGUUUUAUAGUUUUAUUUAAACGAUUGGUUGAAGGAAAAUAGUAAAAGAGUGUUCUGAAAUAACGCAGUCAGGUUCUAGCCAGUUGGCUAAUGCUUAAUGGUGAAAGGAUUUAAUUCAGUCAGUAGGCAGUCAUGUACACAGAGCAGUGUAUCGUUUCUGGGAGCUUAUGAAUGAAGUGGAAUACUGUGUUUUGAUCUCAGCAUAUGUCAAGCUGUUAUUCUGUAUGAUACUUAAAUCAUGUGUUCAUUGAGAUUUGUCAUUCUUUUCAUUGCAGAGGCUGUUUCUGUUAUAGAGUUAGUGUUGUCUUUCUGUUUUUAAAUAGUGUCUGAACUUUAUAGGUAAAAUUUGCCUGCUAGUUACUAACAAGCAGAGCUUUUGCCUAAUGUAAAUUUUUUACUUUCUUAUUAAACUUGUGAACAAGUGUUUGUGGGGAAAAAAACCAAGUGGACUAAGCUGAGAUGUCCCGAUUUCCCUUCAUGGCCUCUGACUUGUACCCCAUAUUGUGUCACUUGUGGGUUCAGAGGCCAUUAUUGCAUAUUUUUUAUUUUCUCCAUCUGCAUGUAUGCUAAUGAUCAGGUAUCACAUAUAGUAUGUAUCUGUCUGAAACCUUUCUCAGUUCUAUUUUAACUUCCUUCUAAAAAUCUAUAUGGUAUAUAGAAAUUUUACUUACUGUUUACACUGAGGAGGGGUGGGAUAUGUUAGCUUUUCAGUGUAGCUCCUCCUCUCAUCACAGGGGCUGAAAGAAAAAUGCGUGUUCCAAAUUAUUUGCUGGCUGACUUGCAGCUAUUUAAACACUCCUUGCCUUGCAGUGUCAGAAUCACAGCAGCAUCCAUAUGUAAAUACUUCACUGAGAAUGUGAAAAAAUUAGAAACUGCUGCUUUCACAAUGCAUUGUUGAUAAAUCAUUUGUAGGCAGGAGAGGAGAGUAGUUAUACUGCU